GAUCUGCUGCAUGUCAACAGGGUGGAUUUUGUGAGCAAAGUGGAGACUGGUGGCCGUCUUGGCCACAGCGACCACAAAGCAAUCGAGUUUAAAACUCCGUUGACAGGAGGAAAAGUGCCAGCAAAACCUCAACUCCAGACAUGAGAAGAACAGACUUCAGGUUGCUCAGGGAAUUAGUAAGGUCCCCUGUGAAAAUAUUUUUGCAGGUGCUGGAGUCCAUCAGUGCUGGUCACUUUUCAAGCAUCACCUCCUAAGGACACAGGAGCAGCAAUUCCCAAAUGUCAGAACUCAAGCAGAGUCUGACACUGGGGAUAUCUGGCAAUCAGCUUACACAUUCAUUGGUUUGCAUAAGGGGAGGAGACAGGACUGCACAGUGGCAGCAACUAUGCAAACAACUCAUUUCACUCUAGCUCCCCCAGAAUCUGGUCCCACAUCCUCUGCAGCUGCAGAAGAAUUCAAACAGGC
Molecule: long non-coding RNA, 465 nt
Organism: Lepidothrix coronata (blue-crowned manakin)
Lineage: Eukaryota; Metazoa; Chordata; Aves; Passeriformes; Pipridae
Exons: 3
Source: RefSeq, a predicted model, not a curated record